Molecule: long non-coding RNA, 384 nt
Filed under: Coffea arabica (coffee)
Lineage: Eukaryota; Viridiplantae; Streptophyta; Magnoliopsida; Gentianales; Rubiaceae
Description: long non-coding RNA (CARA_LNC001211)
Source: RNAcentral
CUCAAAGUGGGAGUUCAUAGAGCCCACAUUUAACAAUUUCCAACAAUAAUAAGCUAUCCAUAAGCAUAAUCAAGCUCUUAAGUGUAAGUUAGCCUUCAUUGAACUAGAUUUGAAGAGUGGAUCAUGGUUACCUUACUUGUGUGCUAAAAGGUCAGAUUCUGGUGUCCAAAAGUCCCAAGAAAAACCGUGAGUGUGCAGCUCUUUCUUUGUCCAAGUGAUUGUCCAAGUGAUGAGCUAAACGUAUGUGAAGUUUUGGUUGAAUCUAUGGAGGUUUGGUAGUGAUUUUUGUGAGCUUUGCAGAAGGAAAUGGUGAAGAGCUGCGGCUGCAAGCUAUCCGUCCAUUGCAGCUAAAAGAACUGAAAUGUGGUUCUGAUUCCUUUCCGU